AUUGAUGCUGCCUUGGCUGGAUUGAGAGGCACUCAUGCCUUUGGAGAAAAUUUUAUUUGUGCUUAUGAAAUGAGACCCUCAUGAGAUGUCAGAUAGACUAGACUGUGAAG
Neopelma chrysocephalum (saffron-crested tyrant-manakin) is the source of this 110-nucleotide long non-coding RNA. RefSeq lists it as uncharacterized. The record is from RefSeq and is a predicted model, not a curated record. The transcript has 3 exons. NCBI's taxonomy places the organism in Eukaryota, Metazoa, Chordata, Aves, Passeriformes, Pipridae.